RNAcentral lists this ribosomal RNA (460 nucleotides) under uncultured bacterium. RNAcentral describes it as "partial 16S ribosomal RNA". It matches the Rfam family "Bacterial small subunit ribosomal RNA", at positions 338 to 795 of the family's 1533-position model. The record is from RNAcentral.
CCUACGGGUGGCAGCAGUGAGGAAUAUUGGUCAAUGGGCGCGAGCCUGAACCAGCCAAGUAGCGUGAAGGAUGACUGUUCUACGGGUUGUAAACUUCUUUUAUAAAGGAAUAAAGUGAGGCACGUGUGCCUUUUUGUAUGUACUUUAUGAAUAAGGAUCGGCUAACUCCGUGCCAGCAGCCGCGGUAAUACGGAGGAUCCGAGCGUUAUCCGGAUUUAUUGGGUUUAAAGGGAGCGUAGAUGGGUUGUUAAGUCAGUGGUGAAAGUUUGCGGCUCAACCGUAAAAUUGCCAUUGAUACUGGCAGCCUUGAGUACAGUUGAGGUAGGCGGAAUGCGUGGUGUAGCGGUGAAAUGCUUAGAUAUCACGAAGAACUCCGAUUGCGAAGGCAGCUUACUAAGCUGCCACUGACAUUGAUGCUCGAAAGUGUGGGUAUCAAACAGGAUUAGAUACCCCGGUAGUC